CUAUACUGCAAGUCGAGCGGACAGAAGGGAGCUUGCUCCCGGAUGUUAGCGGCGGACGGGUGAGUAACACGUGGGUAACCUGCCUGUAAGACUGGGAUAACUCCGGGAAACCGGAGCUAAUACCGGAUAGUUCCUUGAACCGCAUGGUUCAAGGAUGAAAGACGGUUUCGGCUGUCACUUACAGAUGGACCCGCGGCGCAUUAGCUAGUUGGUGAGGUAACGGCUCACCAAGGCGACGAUGCGUAGCCGACCUGAGAGGGUGAUCGGCCACACUGGGACUGAGACACGGCCCAGACUCCUACGGGAGGCAGCAGUAGGGAAUCUUCCGCAAUGGACGAAAGUCUGACGGAGCAACGCCGCGUGAGUGAUGAAGGUUUUCGGAUCGUAAAGCUCUGUUGUUAGGGAAGAACAAGUGCAAGAGUAACUGCUUGCACCUUGACGGUACCUAACCAGAAAGCCACGGCUAACUACGUGCCAGCAGCCGCGGUAAUACGUAGGUGGCAAGCGUUGUCCGGAAUUAUUGGGCGUAAAGGGCUCGCAGGCGGUUUCCCAAGUCUGAUGUGAAAGCCCCCGGCCCCAACCGGGGAGGGUCAUUGGAAAUUUGGU
Molecule: ribosomal RNA, 606 nt
Filed under: Bacillus altitudinis
Lineage: Bacteria; Bacillati; Bacillota; Bacilli; Caryophanales; Bacillaceae
Description: bacterial SSU rRNA
Rfam family: Bacterial small subunit ribosomal RNA
Source: RNAcentral